CCUACGGGAUGCAGCAGUGAGGAAUAUUGGUCAAUGGCCGGAAGGCUGAACCAGCCAUGCCGCGUGAAGGUCAGUGCCCUAUGGGCGUUAAACUUCUUUUGUGCGGGAGCAAUCAUGGUCACGUGUGGCCAGACGAGAGUACCGUACGAAUAAGCAUCGGCUAACUCCGUGCAAGCAGCAGCGGUAAUACGGGGGAUGCAAGCGUUAUCCGGAUUUAUUGGGUUUAAAGGGUGCGUAGGCUGUGAGGUAAGUCAGCGGUGAAAUGCCCCCGCUCAACGGGGUGAAGUGCCAUUGAUACUGCCUGGCUGGAAUGCGGAUGCCGUGGGAGGAAGGUGUGGUGUAGCGGGGAAAUGCAGAGAGAUCAGACAGAACACCGAUUGCGAAGGCAUCUCACGAAUCCGCGAUUGACGCUGAUGCACGAAAGCGUGGGUAUCAAACAGGAUUAGAUACCCCAGUAGUC
RNAcentral lists this ribosomal RNA (460 nucleotides) under uncultured bacterium. RNAcentral's name for it is "partial 16S ribosomal RNA". It matches the Rfam family "Bacterial small subunit ribosomal RNA", at positions 338 to 795 of the family's 1533-position model. The record is from RNAcentral.